GGCGCUAUGGUGUAGUGGCAGCACAUGGGAUUCUGAUACAAUAGGAAAUUCCCAUAACCCAGGUUCGAACCCUGGUAGUGCCU
This 83-nucleotide transfer RNA is filed under the name Armillaria gallica. It matches the Rfam family "tRNA". Rfam says of the family: Transfer RNA (tRNA) molecules are approximately 80 nucleotides in length. The record is from Rfam by way of RNAcentral. Lineage: Eukaryota; Fungi; Basidiomycota; Agaricomycetes; Agaricales; Physalacriaceae.